CAGAUGGCGACCGGCGCACGGGUGAGUAACACGUAUCCAACCUGCCGCUUACUCGGGGAUAGCCUUUCGAAAGAAAGAUUAAUACCCGAUGGUAUAAAGAGUUCGCAUGUUCUCUUUAUUAAAGAAUUUCGGUAAGCGAUGGGGAUGCGUUCCAUUAGAUAGUUGGCGGGGUAACGGCCACCAAGUCUACGAUGGAUAGGGGUUCUGAGAGGAAGGUCCCCCACAUUGGAACUGAGACACGGUCCAAACUCCUACGGGAGGCAGCAGUGAGGAAUAUUGGUCAAUGGACGAGAGUCUGAACCAGCCAAAGUAGCGUGAAGGAUGACUGCCCUAUGGGUUGUAAACUUCUUUUAUAAGGGAAUAAAGUGAGGGACGUGUCCCUUUUUGUAUGUACCUUAUGAAUAAGGAUCGGCUAACUCCGUGCCAGCCGCCGC
This 434-nucleotide ribosomal RNA is filed under the name uncultured bacterium. RNAcentral describes it as "bacterial SSU rRNA". It matches the Rfam family "Bacterial small subunit ribosomal RNA", at positions 85 to 518 of the family's 1533-position model. The record is from RNAcentral.